AAGACUUUAAAACUGUGGAUAGGUUCACAUUCUGGCUUUGUCCAGCAAAUGUAGGUUCAUUUUAAUCCAAAGCAAAAAUGAAAUCAUUUAUUUAAACUUUGAAUUAAGUAAAUACUUCAUGUUUCAGGUAUGGGUUCUUGGUCUUCAAAAACAGCUACUCCAUCUUCACGUACAUUUAUUCAAAAGCUAUAAUCAUACGAGUUGUCAUUCAAUAAAAAAUGUACUAUACAUUGACAUUAUUUUCUCUUUAAAUUGUUUCUUGUCAGUUCUUGAAAACCCAUGGAGGCAAAUUAACUUUGGAAAGAACCCAACUGACCAGCAUUUUGUGGAGAACUACAAACCUCAGGUUGAAGAACAAAAGCUUAGGAUCCUCCCUUAUGGUCCAUUGUGACUGGAAAAUCUAGUUUAAUCAAUUCUGUAAACAGUGUCUUACAAAAGAGAGUACAUCGCGAGGUUUUGGUGGAGAGCACAUCUGGUACCAGCUGCACCAAAGAUGUAUGGACAGAGUACAACUAUGCCAAUAACAGUGAAUAUGUGACUCACUAAAUAACUUGUAGCAAGAGCAGCAAUCUGGCUGUGUCCAUGAAUGUGCAGGUUGGUGAAGGCUUUUAUCUAUGUUUUACUGUCAUGUAUGCCAAGUUAACAACAUGUGGUGGAGACCUGGCAUUGUAUAGUCUUAUGUUCAGCCGAAUGAAUGCACCAUGUUCAGAUCCUAUCAGUUACAUUAAUAUUAUUAUUAUUAUUAGUUAUAUUACUAGAUACAAUAGCUAUUAUUGUCUAAUUUCGUUAGCCUCUCCCCCAUCACCAGCUUGUGUUACAAAUGCCGCUUUCUAGUAGUAGUGGCACUCUAUCAGUGCCAGGUUCUCUAUCAGAUUCGCCCCUUGCUCACCACUUCUGGUUUCAAAAGGCCAAAAUAGGAACUUACAAAAUUUUCACCUUGAAGUUUCGGUAUGGAAUUCCACUAAGAGAACCUACAGGAUCCGGAAUGGAAACACCUUUUACUCUUUUGUCCUAAAUGACAUGGUGGGGUUCAAUUACACCAGCAGAAGACAGAGAAGAAUUCAUGUGAAAGAUGUCAAACAGGCACUAAAGGGCCACAUAAAUGAUGGUUACAAGUUCAACCCUGAAAAUAAACUGUCAAAAGACAAUGGAUACUACAACAGAGCUCCAACUGAGAAUGACAAAGUGCACGUUUUGGUUUGUGUUGUUGAUGCCAACACUGUAUCUCUGAAGAAUGGUGCCAUUGUGGAGGUAAUGCAGGAUGUCAGAGAUGAAGCCAGUGAUCUGGGGAUUCCACAAGUGGCAAUUUUCACCAAAAUUGACGAGGCUUUUCCUGAGAUAAACCAUGAUGUGACAAAUGUCUACAAGAGCAAAUCUCUUUAGCAAAAGAUUCAGCAGUUCAGCAAAUGUGUGGGCACCCCUAUUCACUCUAGUGAAGAACUACCAUUCAGAAACAGAACUCAAUCCUGACAUUGAUGCUAUAAUAAUGAACGCCCUGAGAAACAUCAUUGAAAUUGGAAAUGACUCAACGAAAAGUUACAAUCCCAGAUCUAGACAUCCACUGCACUGAAAGUGUAGUUUUGGUUCAAGUGUUAAAACCAUUACAGUCAUUGUAUGUGGUACAUUGUGUGUGAAAAGCAUGGUUUGAUUAAAAGUCUGAA
Long non-coding RNA from Oreochromis niloticus (Nile tilapia), 1661 nucleotides. RefSeq lists it as uncharacterized. The transcript has 5 exons. Lineage: Eukaryota; Metazoa; Chordata; Actinopteri; Cichliformes; Cichlidae. The record is from RefSeq and is a predicted model, not a curated record.